GCGCGAAACCUUCACAAUGCACGAAAGUGUGAUGAGGGUACUCCGAGUGCGCAUACAUUGUAUGUGCUUUUCUGCAGCGUAAAUAGUUGCAGGAAUAAGGGCUGGGCAAGACCGGUGCCAGCCGCCGCGGUAACACCGGCAGCCCUAGUGGUGGCCGCUUUUAUUGGGCCUAAAGCGUCCGUAGCCGGAUAGGCAAGUCUUUGGGUAAAUCCUACGUCUUAAGCGUGGGAAUUCUAAAGAUACUACCUGUCUUGAGGCCGGGAGAGGCUAGAGGUACUCCUGGGGUAGGGGUAAAAUCCUAUAAUCCUGGGGGGACCACCGAUGGCGAAGGCAUCUAGCUGGAACGGGCCUGACGGUGAGGGACGAAACCCAGGGGAGCGAGCCGGAUUAGAUACCCGGGUAGUCCUGGGCGUAAAUGAUGUGGGCCUGGUGUGAGCGCAUCGACGUGGUGCGUUUGUGCCGUAGGGAAGCCGUUAAGCCCACCGCCUGGGGAGUACGGUCGCAAGGCUGAAACU
Molecule: ribosomal RNA, 515 nt
Filed under: uncultured euryarchaeote
Lineage: Archaea; Methanobacteriati; Methanobacteriota
Description: bacterial SSU rRNA
Rfam family: Archaeal small subunit ribosomal RNA
Source: RNAcentral